This is a long non-coding RNA of Hordeum vulgare subsp. vulgare (domesticated barley), 228 nucleotides long. RefSeq lists it as uncharacterized. The transcript has 2 exons. Lineage: Eukaryota; Viridiplantae; Streptophyta; Magnoliopsida; Poales; Poaceae. The record is from RefSeq and is a predicted model, not a curated record.
AGUCCGAAAGCGCAAUUCAUGAGUUAUCUGACUCGGUUUGGAUAUAGUUUUUGCACAGGUGAAGUACGAAGCCAAGUAUGAAGCUAUGAAGCGUAUGAACAAAGAGUAGCAUAUGUGUUGUAAUAGUAGGCAGUAGUAGGCAUAUCUGGGUUGUGGUGUAGUGUAAAGAUUGUAAUAGACAAAUUUAAUGUUGGUUUGGACGAAUUUCAUUUUCUCCCUAGCCUGUUU